GACGGAAGGUGCAAGCGUUGCUCGGAAUCACUGGGCGUAAAGGGUGCGUAGGCGGCCGUGCAAGUCUGGCGUGAAAGCCCCGGGCUCAGCCCGGGAAGUGCGCUCGAAACUGCGCGGCUCGAGUGCCGGAGGGGAGAGUGGAAUUCCUGGUGUAGCGGUGAAAUGCGUAGAUAUCAGGAGGAACACCAGUGGCGAAGGCGGUUGCCUGGGGCUUUGCUGACGCUGAUGCGCGAAAGCGUGGGGAGCGAUCCGG
RNAcentral lists this ribosomal RNA (253 nucleotides) under uncultured bacterium. RNAcentral's name for it is "partial 16S ribosomal RNA". It matches the Rfam family "Bacterial small subunit ribosomal RNA", at positions 524 to 776 of the family's 1533-position model. The record is from RNAcentral.